RNAcentral lists this ribosomal RNA (329 nucleotides) under uncultured eukaryote. Its description in RNAcentral is "partial 18S ribosomal RNA". It matches the Rfam family "Eukaryotic small subunit ribosomal RNA", at positions 1470 to 1796 of the family's 1831-position model. The record is from RNAcentral.
CCCUUAGAUGUCCUGGGCCGCACGCGCGCUACACUGAGUGUCUGAGAUACGAGUCUGCCUGGUCCGGCAAGGUCUAGGUAAUCGCUAAAAGACACAUCAUGCUUGGGAUAGAUUAUUGCAAAUAUUAAUCUUGAACGAGGAAUUCCUAGUAAGCGCAAGUCAACAGCUUGCGUUGAUUACGUCCCUGCCCUUUGUACACACCGCCCGUCGCUACUACUGAUUGGAUGUUUAAGCGAGGUUCUCGAACUGCUAGCGACUUAGCUUCGGUGAGGUCGCAGUGUGGGAAGUGAACCUAGCUUUGGUGUCUAGAGGAAGUAAAAGUCGUAAAA